UGAAAUUCCAUCACUAAUGAACAGCGUGUUCCAUUAAAUGAAGGCUUCAGAAAGCUGCGAGAUUGGCAAAACCCAGUUUUCCUUUGGCCAUUUGUGCGUGUUUGGAGGUACCUGCUGGGGCAUGAGGUGAAGUUGAGCUCAGCCUUGUGCAGCUCCCCAGGGAGGCUCCUCGUGCGUCCCACGGCUGCCCCAAGACUCCUCUCCAGACCCUUCUGCUGAGGAGAAGCCAACUGGAGGAACUGUGAAGGCUGAAGUCUGUUGUCAAUGGGACUGUACAGAGGGAAAACUCAGACCUUCUGCUUUCCAGGGAUCCCUCUGCAGACUGUGCUGUCAAACUCUCCUUCCGGAGCUGCUGUGUUCACCUAGAAGCUGCCAGACCUUUGGAAAACAAGAGACCUUGCCAAGGAGACUUGGUGUGCAUUUCUGCCUGCCUCAUUGACUCCUUUGUGUAAAGGACCAGGAAUACGGAUCCCAGGGAGCUGUAUGAACAAAUGCUCUGGUUCAGUGGUGGUGUGCCC
This is a long non-coding RNA of Lepidothrix coronata (blue-crowned manakin), 518 nucleotides long. RefSeq lists it as uncharacterized. The transcript is spliced from 4 exons. Lineage: Eukaryota; Metazoa; Chordata; Aves; Passeriformes; Pipridae. The record is from RefSeq and is a predicted model, not a curated record.